This 238-nucleotide ribosomal RNA is filed under the name uncultured bacterium. Its description in RNAcentral is "partial 16S ribosomal RNA". It matches the Rfam family "Bacterial small subunit ribosomal RNA", at positions 118 to 349 of the family's 1533-position model. The record is from RNAcentral.
UGAGCAAUCUGCCCUUCUCUUUGGAAUAAGCGUUGGAAACGACGUCUAAUGCCGAAUACGACCUCCUUUCGCAUGAUCGGAGGUGGAAAGCUCCGGCGGAGAAGGAUGAGCUCGCGGCCUAUCAGCUAGUUGGUGUGGGUAAUGGCCCACCAAGGCGACGACGGGUAGCCGGCCUGAGAGGGUGACCGGCCACACGUGGGACUGAGACACCGGCCCAGACCUCCGUACGGGACGGCGC